UACCUUUUGCAUCAUGGUUUAACUAGAACAACUCUUCUUAAGAUCAAACCCGAAAUAUUAUGAGCUGUUCUUGUAUCGUUAAGAACCCACUUUAUUCUGUUGCAAUAGAAUAAGAAAAUACAAAAACAGAAGCUACAUACUAACCGCAUAAUAUAAUAGCUGGUUUCCCUCAAAAGUUAUAUAAGUAACAAAAAUAAAAUAUUAUUCUAAUAUAUAGAGGAAAAGCUCUAUAUAUCAUCCUAUUUUCCCAUAAUUACUCCUAGAAGUAGGCUUAAAAAUAGCCACCUAUUAAAAUGUUCCAAUUAUUUAACACAAAAUAAUUCUCUGAUAAAUGACAACUAAAGAGAAACUUCUAAAAACAACACAUAGAAAAAUACAAUGUUAAAACUAGUAUUAAUAACCAAUUCAACUUCCCCAUUAAACAUAUAGUUUAAAGGAACUCGGCAAAUAUCUAUUUCGACUGUUUAUCAAAAACAUAGCCUCAUGCCUCACCCAUAUAAGGUGACUCCUGCCCAGUGAUUUUAAACGGCCGCAGUACCCUGACUGUGCAAAGGUAGCAUAAUCACUUGCCUUUUAAUUGAAGGCUGGUAUGAAUGGACCUACGUAAAUAAAGCUGUCUCUAAACUACAUGUAAAAACUAGCCCUCAGGUGAAGAUACCUGAAUCAAAAUAAAGGACAAAAAGACCCUAUAGAGCUGCAUUUACUCAAAUCAAUAGCGAUCAAAAUACUACAUUUACUUCAAAGUAAAUUUUGUUGGGGCGACAAAGGAACACACAAAGCUUCCCCUAAAUAAAAAGAAAACAACUCUAUCUAAAGAUCCUCUAAAGAUCAAAGGAAAAAGCUACCUUAGGGAUAACAGGCUAAUCUCCCUAGAGAGUUCAAAUUGACAGGGAGGAUUGGCACCUCGAUGUUGGCUUAAGAUACCCCCUAGGUGCAGAAGCUUAGAAAGGUUGGUUUGUUCAACCAUUAAAAUCUUACAUGAGCUGAGUUCAGACCGGCGCAAGCCAGGUUAGUUUCUAUCCUUAUUUCAACCCUUAUUGAGCAGUACGAAAGGACCC
This 1058-nucleotide ribosomal RNA is filed under the name Glycera unicornis. RNAcentral's name for it is "16S ribosomal RNA". It matches the Rfam family "Bacterial large subunit ribosomal RNA", at positions 602 to 2694 of the family's 2925-position model. The record is from RNAcentral. Lineage: Eukaryota; Metazoa; Annelida; Polychaeta; Phyllodocida; Glyceridae.